RNAcentral lists this ribosomal RNA (327 nucleotides) under uncultured eukaryote. Its description in RNAcentral is "partial 18S ribosomal RNA". It matches the Rfam family "Eukaryotic small subunit ribosomal RNA", at positions 1470 to 1796 of the family's 1831-position model. The record is from RNAcentral.
CCCUUAGAUGUUCUGGGCCGCACGCGCGCUACACUGACGAAUGCAACGAGCUUAUAACCUUGGCCGAAAGGUUUGGGUAAUCUCCAAAUUUCGUCGUGAUGGGGAUAGAUUAUUGCAAUUAUUAAUCUUCAACGAGGAAUGCCUAGUAAGCGCAAGUCAUCAGCUUGCGUUGAUUACGUCCCUGCCCUUUGUACACACCGCCCGUCGCUCCUACCGAUUGAAUGGUCCGGUGAAGCGUUCGGACCGUGGCCUUUGGACGGUUCGCCGUCUGUUGGCUGCGGGAAGUUCGUUAAACCUUAUCAUUUAGAGGAAGGAGAANUCGUAACA